RNAcentral lists this small nuclear RNA (107 nucleotides) under Suricata suricatta (meerkat). The record is from RNAcentral. Lineage: Eukaryota; Metazoa; Chordata; Mammalia; Carnivora; Herpestidae.
GUGCUCGCUUCGGCGGCACAUAUACUAAAGUUGGAAUGAUACAGAGAAGAUUAGCAUGGCCCCUGUGCAAGGAUGGCACACAAAUUCAUGAAGCGUUCCAUAUUUAA